RNAcentral lists this ribosomal RNA (438 nucleotides) under uncultured Treponema sp. RNAcentral describes it as "partial 16S ribosomal RNA". It matches the Rfam family "Bacterial small subunit ribosomal RNA", at positions 341 to 770 of the family's 1533-position model. The record is from RNAcentral. Lineage: Bacteria; Pseudomonadati; Spirochaetota; Spirochaetia; Treponematales; Treponemataceae.
ACGGAAGGCAGCAGCUAAGAAUAUUCCGCAAUGGACGAAAGUCUGACGGAGCGGCGCCGCGUGGAUGAUGAAGGUCGGAAGAUUGUAAAAUCCUUUUAUAACUGAGGAAUAAGCCUUAUGAGAGGAACGUAAGGUGGUGGCUGUAGGUUAUGAAUAAGCAACGGCUAAUUACGUGCCAGCAGCCGCGGUAACACGUAAGUUGCGAGCGUUGUUCGGAAUUAUUGGGCGUAAAGGGCAUGUAGGCGGUUUUGCAAGCUUGGUGUGAAAUCUCGGAGCUCAACUCCGAAAUUGCGUUGAGAACUGCAUAACUAGAGUCACUGAGGGGCAAUCAGAAUUCCAGGUGUAGGGGUGAAAUCUGUAGAUAUCUGGAAGAAUACCAAUGGCGAAGGCAGGUUACCAGCAGAUGACUGACGCUGAGGCGCGAAAGCGUGGGGAGCA